GGGUGUGGAGGAAAUCUGGCUGCUUCGUCUGUUGCCGCAUUGGUCACCAGGGUUGAUUAGGCUGAUCUGGCUGGCUAGGCAAUGUCCCCUUCCUCUCUCACCACUCUCCAUUAGCAUCCUUCCUGAAGCUUUGUGCUCAGUUGAAGAGGACGACCUUCCUUGAUAAAGAAGGACUGUUCUUUGGUCAAGGGUAUAUGAAUAGCUGUAUUCUCUUGCUACUACAAACAAGUGAUUCUCUCUGUAUAGGGAGAAGAUUUACCCUUUGUCCUAUGCCAUUGGACAAAAG
Otolemur garnettii (small-eared galago) is the source of this 286-nucleotide unclassified non-coding RNA. Its record names the gene 7SK. It matches the Rfam family "7SK RNA". Rfam says of the family: 7SK was discovered as an abundant small nuclear RNA in the mid-70s but a possible function has only recently been suggested. Lineage: Eukaryota; Metazoa; Chordata; Mammalia; Primates; Galagidae. The record is from Ensembl.